AUCCAGAAGACGAGUCCCAAAUAGAAGAAAACGCGUGUUCUGGAU
This 45-nucleotide non-coding RNA is filed under the name Schistosoma mansoni. Lineage: Eukaryota; Metazoa; Platyhelminthes; Trematoda; Strigeidida; Schistosomatidae. The record is from RNAcentral.